GACGAACGCUGGCGGCGUGCUUAACACAUGCAAGUCGAACGGAAAGGCCCUGCUUUUGUGGGGUGCUCGAGUGGCGAACGGGUGAGUAACACGUGAGUAACCUGCCCUUGACUUUGGGAUAACUUCAGGAAACUGGGGCUAAUACCGGAUAGGAGCUCCUGCUGCAUGGUGGGGGUUGGAAAGUUUCGGCGGUUGGGGAUGGACUCGCGGCUUAUCAGCUUGUUGGUGGGGUAGUGGCUUACCAAGGCUUUGGAGGGUAGCCGGCCUGAGAGGGUGACCGGCCACAUUGGGACUGAGAUACGGACCAGACUCCUACGGGAGGCAGCAGUGGGGAAUAUUGCACAAUGGGCGGAAGCCUGAUGCAGCAACGCCGCGUGCGGGAUGACGGCCUUCGGGUUGUAAACCGCUUUCGCCUGUGACGAAGCGUGAGUGACGGUAAUGGGUAAAGAAGCACCGGCUAACUACGUG
This 468-nucleotide ribosomal RNA is filed under the name uncultured bacterium. RNAcentral describes it as "partial 16S ribosomal RNA". It matches the Rfam family "Bacterial small subunit ribosomal RNA", at positions 28 to 507 of the family's 1533-position model. The record is from RNAcentral.